UCUAAAGUAUCGAUUCACCUUGAAAAUCGUACUUGCAUGCAAAGCAGGGGCUUGGGGAGCGCCUGUCUUUUCCCGGCAGAAGUUUCCCUGCUGGGAAGCACACUGCGUGUUUCAGCACCCAGCUGCCUGCUCUCCCGUUAGACAUGCGACACGCUACUAGUGCCAUGAAGGGCUGGAGCCGUAGAAGUCAUUCAGAAAGACAAGCGGCAUCUCCAAGGGCUCCCCUACCGGAAUAACGGGGGCUGGGCAGGGCAGGGCCGUGCGGGUUGCUAUGCGUGGGCUCUUCCACGGCACGCGGGGAAGCCCACUCCGCUCGAGCACUGAGUCAGCGCUUCCUGCGCUCGCCCGGCCCCGGCCGCUCCCGUGGGCAGGAAGCUCCGCUGGGAAUCCUCCCUCCUGCCGCUGCCGGCGCCGCGUGGUGCAGAGGCCGAGAACAGGUAAAAGCGGGUUUCUCCCUGCAUUGUGCUAUCUCGGAGAAAAGGAAGGAAAGACGUGGCAAUCAGCCCUGCCCUUCUCGGAGAAUGGCUGUUUAUUCCCUAAUGCUUAAGAAGCGUUAGAUUGAUAAACCGAGUCCAAUUAUUUCCUAAUGUAAAGCCUCUGAAACCAGUGGAGCUCAAUUAAGAAUCCAUUUAGCCAUGUAAGAGUGUUUGCAUAGAUUUUUGCAUAGGCUCAGUGGAUGCGGCUUUCAGACUGCUCGCUGCUUUAUUCAUUUAAAUCAUACCUCCCUGAAGAAGGAAACCACGUGCACUUUGCAGGGAGAUCAGCACAGGCAACGAGUGCCCACUGCAAGCAGCGAGGAAAUCCUCACCGGCUCCCUGAGAACAGCUGUGCUUUCAUUGGGCUUUCAUUAGCGAACGUUCACCUUUCUCCCCCAGGAGUCCCUGGUCAGCAGCCUAAGGUACCCGUGCCAUUUAAAGCAGCAGGAUGCUACUUAGCAGGAUGCAGCCAUCAGCAGUGACUGCACCAUCCCACAGACAGCACCUGCUUCUUCAUCUUCAUUUGCCUUUUCUCUGUCGAAUCCUUUCUCUGAAGUGUUCACCUGCUCCUCUCCUCCUGUCACCUCCUGGCACCACCUAAACUGGCUGUGACUCAUUUGAAGUGCUCCACAGAGAUGCUACCUGGAACUAGGGAUGCACUUCUGUGCCUAAGCUGCAAUCAACUGCCUUCCAAAAGGAUGUGUUUUAAUUAAUGAGGUGCAUAACAUCUGAAACUGAUGCGGCUUCUUCAGUGCAGCCCUUAAUGUUCUCAGAGAAUGACAGAGCAAUAAAGGACGUGCUCAAGGAAUCAA
This is a non-coding RNA of Coturnix japonica (Japanese quail), 1288 nucleotides long. NCBI's taxonomy places the organism in Eukaryota, Metazoa, Chordata, Aves, Galliformes, Phasianidae. The record is from RefSeq and is a predicted model, not a curated record.